Molecule: ribosomal RNA, 220 nt
Filed under: uncultured bacterium
Lineage: Bacteria
Description: partial 16S ribosomal RNA
Rfam family: Bacterial small subunit ribosomal RNA
Source: RNAcentral
UAAUGUAUGGGGAUCUGCCCGAUAGAGGGGGGUAACUACUGGAAACGGUGGCUAAUACCGCAUAGUGUCUACGGACCAAAGCAGGGGCUCUUCGGACCUUGCACUAUCGGAUGAACCCAUAUGGGAUUAGCUAGUAGGUGGGGUAAAGGCUCACCUAGGCGACGAUCUCUAGCUGGUCUGAGAGGAUGAUCAGCCACACUGGGACUGAGACACGGCCCAG